RNAcentral lists this ribosomal RNA (200 nucleotides) under uncultured bacterium. RNAcentral describes it as "partial 16S ribosomal RNA". It matches the Rfam family "Bacterial small subunit ribosomal RNA", at positions 8 to 216 of the family's 1533-position model. The record is from RNAcentral.
AGAGUUUGAUCCUGGCUCAGAACGAACGCUGGCGGCAUGCUUAACACAUGCAAGUCGAACGCAUGGUCACGGUUCGCCGUGGUCAUGAGUGGCGCACGGGUGAGUAGCGCGUGGGAACCUGCCCAGGAGUGGGGGAUAACCGAGGGAAACUUCGGCUAAUACCGCAUGCGCCCCCGGGGAACCGGGGGGAAAGAUUUAUC